AGCCAAUCACCUGAACAAUUAUUUUGCCGUCAAUCCAGCAUAAAUUCAUCUGAAUAUAAGGGAAGAAAUGACAUAACGUAUAUUAAUCCCUCAAAUAUAACAUAUUCUAAAUGAAGUCAAGCUAAGAAGUAACUUGACAAAUCCUAACUUAUACGGGUUUUUGGACGGGUAGACUACAGACACCCCUGUUUUACAAAGCUGAUGAUCAAUAAACAAAUAUAAUUGAAAGCUGAAACACAGAAUUACAUUUCACUUCAUCGAAGGUUACAUGAAGUUGGUACAUGACAUAAUGUACAAUCUUAUUUAUGUACAAGAAUGGGGAGCCCCAGCACCCAGGCACAUUACCAAAUCCCUUCCUUGGACAGUCUUAGAAACUGCGAAAGGGUAAUGCGGGGGAUCUCGGCUGAACCUUUUUUCUUCUUCUUAAUCCUUGUCAUUUUCAAAGAUUCCUCAUCCUUUGAUUCUGUAACUGUUACUGAGACCAAAUUAUAGAACUGUUCAAAAACAGAUUUUAUUACGGAUUAGAUGGUCUGCCUUAAUCUUCAGUAAACAAUCAAUCAACAAAUGCACAUCGACCAUUAAUUUUACUAUUAUCUAAGAGAUCUCUAACAUCAUCAUCUGAUUACAUGGCUUUCAGUCCGGUAUGAAAUGUGGCCUCCAAAUGAAACAACUUAUGAGACAAGUUACCUCACAGACACCAUGCAGCAACAACCUAUGAAAUGAAUCUUGAACUCGUAGCACAAGCUCAUCUGCAUCUUUGCUCUCCUCAAUGAAGGCUCGUAUGCAAACCUGUGAUUAAAAGGAUUUUAACUCCUAAUAACAAUAAAAUCUGUUAACAAGCCAUGCAUUAAAAAGACAAAGACCGGGCAGAUAUACCAGCUGGUUGACACAUAAUUAAUACAGAAUAAAGAUGAGACUUUAAUAUUUUAAAUCCUUCAUAAAACCAAAUGGAUACUCUUACCAACUUAUUUUUGGAUUAUAAAAAUUUAAUGCCAAACAGAUAUUAUGAUCCUCGCUACAGAGAACAUAAAAUGAAUUGCAAUUAACAGAGUAAAGAAAAAAAGGAUGAAUAUAAAUAUGUACCUCGAAGCCCUCAAUAAGUUCUGGAAGAUAGCUACGGCGAAAUGCAUCUCUUGUUCGACAAUCGAUUCUGCGCCAUGCAUUCAAGACAGCUAUCUUAUCAGUGUCAACAUGACAUUUCCUCUUCAGGGUCGAACCAUUUAAGGCUUUAAUGAUAUUAGCCUGCCACAAACAAAAGAUGAUUGCAGUUGGAGCAUUUUGGCACAUUACAUGUCAAAUUAACACAAAGCAUUGUAUUGGAGUCUGCAUCCACACAAAUCUCACAAAACUGCAGGUUAUUCAGGCAUAUACUUUCUUGACAGCAGAAGAAAUUUGAAAGAUCAAAACUAGUUUUGGUGAUUAAGAGAAGUAAAAAGACCUCUUUAUCCAUGUCUAUAUUCCUGAAUUUGUCCCACUCUCCAUAGUUAGUCAUACAAAAUGGUGAUGGCGGCACUUUGUCACCUGCAAAAUGAACUCAAAAUCAAUGCUAAAAUAACUGAUUUUGCAAAUUACUGCCACAAAGGUGCAAGUGACUUCAGAGAUGCCAAAAAUAAAAGUUGUGCUCCUGUUGUUCCCCAACAGAAAGAACGAAGAGUGUACUUAAAUUUGCUGAGUAGUAUCAAAGUUAGUACACACACAAACAUACGACGACUAUAUCCAAAUAAACUUGACCGUAUUAUGAUAUAAGAAGUUAAGCAAAUUUCCGUAUUGAUAAGAAAAUAAGAACCAAUCCGAACUCCACUACUGCAACAUGUAUAUUGCACACGGCUCACCUCAAAUACCCACAGAUAACUUGACACAAGAAAGACAACCUUGGUGUAAAUGUAAAGAAUUACAGAAACAAGAUAGUAUUCAAUUCUCUUGCAUUUGCUUGUCAGCAAAUUUCAUAUCGGAACAACUAAACCAAAUUAGUAUGCCAAGUAAGUGCCCUAGGGCAACUUGAUAAGGCAGCGUGCUUGAAUGAGCCAAAAGCACACACAGACACAUACUGAUAAAGAUAGCAGUUAUUUGAGCAUUAUAAAUAGGAAAAUCAAGGCAGAAAAUUACCCCAAGGUGGUGGAGCAAACAAGCCUCUAAUUUCAUCGGCAUCUAACCGUGGAACAAGUUCCAUCAACAACGAUCAUUUAACCACAUUCGAGACUGCUGAUUGCUAACCUGCAACAAAAUAAAAUGAGCCCCAAUAUGAUUAAUGAACUUGCACAAAUUAUAUGGAUUCUGUCUUUGUUCUGAAAAACAUAAGAUCAAAAGGAACCGUAGCGAAAAUACACGAACAAAAACACCUCAAAUAUCUUCAGCAGAACAAGUAGUGAUCAACAAAAUACAGUCCAAUGAAAUUGGCUUACUGCUUAUUGUAUUACAAUGAAGUGAUUUUAUCAUAUAACAUUGGAUAUCGGAUACCACCAAAUUGGAUGGUACAAAUGUAAAUGUUAUCUUAAAGAUGUCUUGUACAAGGUAUCGAAACAUGAUCAAGAAACACUCCAGGGAAUCAUUAUUUGAACGUAAUGAUUGACAUUUAUUGGAGUUGAUCACACACGCAUAAUGGAAAUCACUUGAAAUCUAAACUAACAGAGAGCCUUCCAUCACAGUAAUAGCUUUUCCUCGCAGCUGCACUCUCUGAUUCUGCUUGUCUACAUGAAUGUUCAAGAUCCCACUUCUUGGUGAUGCCUGAGUCAGGUAAAAUGUAAUCAACAUAUAACAAUUAGAAGGAAUAUGAAUAGACAUAAAUUAGAGAGAAAUGGAUGCAAAGAGAGUACCGCGUAAGCCACAAAAUCACACUUUCCAAGCUUUUGACUCCAAUAGGUUGCCAAAGCACAAUGUGCACUCCCACAAACGGGAUCCUGAUAUAAACAAGUCAUGUACAUAUAAGACUGUUACUAGAACUGUUUCAAUAUUGACAGAGUUUUUGAAAAUUACUUCCAUCUUACUUAUUGGAUCCUAAACUACAGUACCACACAUAAAAGAAAGUUCUUUGUUCUCUUACAUAGACAUUUUACUUCAAAUGCCAAAAAUCCUUCUUGAAAUCAAAACAGAGCAAUCUACACUAGACUUUAGAGGCACUAUAUGUUUCGAAGUUAGUAAAUGGGUGAAAAGCUAGUAGGAAAUGAGCAAUAAUUUUGUUCACUUUCAGCUGUAACAUUUCACUCAAUUUGCAGGCCUUAUUACUCAUCAGAUUUUCUAAAACAGAAAUGAUAGUCAAUGCACAUCGCCAUGUAGCAUGAGUUAUGACAAAUGUACAUGCUCAUAAUAUAGUAGUAUAUAAACUCAUUCAUUAAAACCAACGAGUUAUUACCUCAUUGAUGCCAAAUUUAGGGCAGAAGAAUCGGCUAUAAAAAUCAAAUCCAGACUCUGGAGGAGCAAGCCCUGAAACAAUUAUGCCGCUUCCAGGACAUUUUCGUAUUUCAUCAAACUGUGGCUCCACGUCUGUAACAGAUUUCGCCGAUGGGAGCACCACCUGCAUAUUGUAGCCAACUUCAUUCAGAACAACUACUAACACUAUAUCCAAAUGAGUAAAGGGUUAAAAGAAAUUACAAAGAUAUCUUCUGAGGUAGUUGUUAUCUUCAUAUCCAUGACUGAAGAAACACUCAAAGCCUUGUGAAUUAAGGAAACCUCAGAAAAAUUAAAAUCAGUAGUUGGAACUAUAGGAAAAUCCAAUUCAAUAAAAUAGCACUCUUGUGCUUCGCCUUUCUGUGAAUUAGAGUCAUUCAUCGCCUUAACAUCUGGAACUUUUUUGGCUGUUAGAAUUCCAGACAGUGUGGCAAAUUCAAUUAUGUUGGAGUUUACCAAACCUCUCGAAAAGAGAGUGUGUGCAGCUGCUAAUGUUGCAUGACCACAAAGUUCAACCUGCAAAAAACUUAUCCUGAAAUUAAAAUACACUCUCCUUUGUGUUGGAGUAAGUGUCAUAUGCAUAAAAAACUAUGACAUGAACACAUGAAAAUAUAUGAAGCCUAAUGAUCAGAAAUAAUAUCAUUCAAGAUAAAAAUUUAGCUAUAAUCUUCCUUCAGAACUAAAAGAAGCAUAGCACAUAAAUAAGAGUAAACAUUCCACAAUGAUGGAAUGAUGAAAUAACUAAAACCCCAUGAAAUAAGAUAAAUCAUCAAGCUCCAGAACUGAGCCAAAUAGCUUCAUCCACAACUUAUAAUUAUAAAAACUGAAACUGACCUCAGCAACAGUAGUGAACCAUCUAAGACGGAACCUCGGAUUAGGCGAUUCAGCAUCAGUAAGGCGAGUCAAGUAACAGGUCUCGGAGAUAUUGAACUCAGAAGCCACAGCUUGUAGCCAUUCUUCAUCUCUAUCUUCCUCUAACAAACAAACCGCUGCCGGGUUCCCCUUGAAAGCUGAGUCAGUAAAAGCAUCCACCUGUCAAAGCAACAAAAAGAACCCAGUCCCAUUCAACCACAACGGAACAUCAAUCUAUAUACAAAAGAGGAGAUUACUAUUAGUUACCACAUAGUAUUGUACGAGCUUCUUGGCCAUGUUGCAGAAUAAAGAAUGAAGUUUAGAGUUUGACACGUGAAACUUGGAGUUGCAGAGCUGAAACCCGAAACUGAGAUGAAGGAAAUGGUCAACCUAACAGCCGCCAACCUACUGUCUUUUUCUUUAUAUUUUUUCCUUUCUUUCCACGCUUCUUCCCCUCUCGUUAAUCACGGACGCUUGGCACAUUCGAUUGGACUGUGCAUGACACAAUAAGAUUUGUUUUUCUUAAAAUUAUCUUGUAUUCUGCCUACUACAACCAACUGAUUAACUUAAUUUACAAGAAAAGAAUUUUCUUAAAUAGUAGAAUCAAGUGAGGCAAUGAAUAAAUUUUAUUUGACUGUGAAUUAUAUUAAAUAUAAUUUAGAGAGACUCAUGAGGAAAUUAAAUAUACUAAUAUCAAUUUAUUAAUUAUUAAAUAAUGUUUAUUUAAUAAUAACAUUGAUAAAUAAAAUUUUUAUUUAAAUUUUAUGUAUGCCAUUCAUUUAUAAAUUCAUUGAAUAGAUGACUUGUCAAUAAAAUUUUUACUGUAGAAUAAAAAUUGUACAAUUUAUCAUAGAUAAAUUCACGAUAUAGAAAGUAUAAUUUCUGAACUUGUUAUGCGCGUAGAUAAAACUUCGUUACAAGGUAUCGAACAAUUAUCAAAUCAUUGUAUGACAUAUCGUUUCUAAGUACAUCACAUAGAUGCCAUGUUCGAAAAGUUUACGGAACGCGUUUAAUAUGACACGAAUAACUUUAACACAUAGAUAAACAUCUCAUUAAUAACUGAUUCAACACCGGUAGGACAUGUUCAAAACUUCAAGGACCACAAAACCUAACCCACCUUGCAGGAAGCUGAAAUGCCACCAACCAAGCAAAUUAUUCAAAUAAACCCCUUCAAAUUCUAUGAAAAAGCCAAUCACCUGAACAAUUAUUUUGCCGUCAAUCCAGCAUAAAUUCAUCUGAAUAUAAGGGAAGAAAUGACAUAACGUAUAUUAAUCCCUCAAAUAUAACAUAUUCUAAAUGAAGUCAAGCUAAGAAGUAACUUGACAAAUCCUAACUUAUACGGGUUUUUGGACGGGUAGACUACAGACACCCCUGUUUUACAAAGCUGAUGAUCAAUAAACAAAUAUAAUUGAAAGCUGAAACACAGAAUUACAUUUCACUUCAUCGAAGGUUACAUGAAGUUGGUACAUGACAUAAUGUACAAUCUUAUUUAUGUACAAGAAUGGGGAGCCCCAGCACCCAGGCACAUUACCAAAUCCCUUCCUUGGACAGUCUUAGAAACUGCGAAAGGGUAAUGCGGGGGAUCUCGGCUGAACCUUUUUUCUUCUUCUUAAUCCUUGUCAUUUUCAAAGAUUCCUCAUCCUUUGAUUCUGUAACUGUUACUGAGACCAAAUUAUAGAACUGUUCAAAAACAGAUUUUAUUACGGAUUAGAUGGUCUGCCUUAAUCUUCAGUAAACAAUCAAUCAACAAAUGCACAUCGACCAUUAAUUUUACUAUUAUCUAAGAGAUCUCUAACAUCAUCAUCUGAUUACAUGGCUUUCAGUCCGGUAUGAAAUGUGGCCUCCAAAUGAAACAACUUAUGAGACAAGUUAC
RNAcentral lists this long non-coding RNA (6109 nucleotides) under Citrus x clementina. Its description in RNAcentral is "Citrus clementina (C. clementina) long non-coding RNA (CCLE_LNC004637)". Lineage: Eukaryota; Viridiplantae; Streptophyta; Magnoliopsida; Sapindales; Rutaceae. The record is from RNAcentral.